UUUGGCUGUUCGCCAAUUAAAGCGGUACGUGAGCUGGGUUCAGAACGUCGUAAGACAGUUCGGUCCCUAUCCUCCGUGGGCGUAGGAAAUUUGAGGGGUGCUAUUCCUAGUACGAGAGGACCGGAAUGGACGAACCUCUAGUGUACCAGUUGUUCCGCCAGGAGCACUGCUGGGUAGCUAUGUUCGGAAGGGAUAACCGCUGAAAGCAUCUAAGUGGGAAGCCCACCCCAAGACGAGAUUUCCCUUCUGCCGUAAGGCAGACUGAAGGAACCUGGGAGAUUACCAGGUAAUAGGCCAGAGGUGUAAGUAUGGCAACAUAUUCAGCCGACUGGUACUAAUAAGCCGUGAGGUUUGACAUA
RNAcentral lists this ribosomal RNA (359 nucleotides) under bacterium. RNAcentral describes it as "partial 23S ribosomal RNA". It matches the Rfam family "Bacterial large subunit ribosomal RNA", at positions 2572 to 2925 of the family's 2925-position model. The record is from RNAcentral.